RNAcentral lists this ribosomal RNA (403 nucleotides) under uncultured bacterium. Its description in RNAcentral is "bacterial SSU rRNA". It matches the Rfam family "Bacterial small subunit ribosomal RNA", at positions 28 to 410 of the family's 1533-position model. The record is from RNAcentral.
GAUGAACGCUGGCGGCGUGCCUAAUACAUGCAAGUCGAGCGGUAAGGUUCUCACAGUUUGCUGGCAUCUUUUUAAUAAGAUCGAGCAAAGUGUGAGAAUACACGAGCGGCGGACGGCUGAGUAACGCGUAGGAACGUACCCAAAGUGAGGGAUAAGCACCGGAAACGGUGUCUAAUACCGCAUAUGAUCUUCGGAUUAAAGACAUUUUGUCGCUUUGGGAGCGGCCUGCGUAUGAUUAGUUAGUUGUGAGGUAAUGGCUCACAAGACGACGAUCAUUAGCUGGUCUGAGAGGAUGAUCAGCCAGACUGGGACUGAGACACGGCCCAGACUCCUACGGGAGGCAGCAGUAGGGAAUUUUCCACAAUGGACGAAAGUCUGAUGGAGCAACGCCGCGUGCAGGAGG